This 500-nucleotide ribosomal RNA is filed under the name uncultured bacterium. Its description in RNAcentral is "partial 16S ribosomal RNA". It matches the Rfam family "Bacterial small subunit ribosomal RNA", at positions 30 to 523 of the family's 1533-position model. The record is from RNAcentral.
AUUGAACGCUGGCGGCAUGCCUUACACAUGCAAGUCGAACGGUAACGGGUCCUUCGGGAUGCCGACGAGUGGCGAACGGGUGAGUAAUAUAUCGGAACGUGCCCAGUAGUGGGGGGUAACUGCUCGAAAGAGCAGCUAAUACCGCAUACGACCUGAGGGUGAAAGGGGGGGAUCGCAAGACCUCUCGCUAUUGGAGCGGCCGAUAUCAGAUUAGCUAGUUGGUGGGGUAAAGGCCUACCAAGGCAACGAUCUGUAGUUGGUCUGAGAGGACGACCAGCCACACUGGGACUGAGACACGGCCCAGUCUCCUACGGGAGGCAGCAGUGGGGAAUUUUGGACAAUGGGCGCAAGCCUGAUCCAGCAAUGCCGCGUGCAGGAAGAAGGCCUUCGGGUUGUAAACUGCUUUUGUCAGGGAAGAAAUCUUCUGGGCUAAUACCCCGGGAGGAUGACGGUACCUGAAGAAUAAGCACCGGCUAACUACGUGCCAGCCGCCGCAGUAA